RNAcentral lists this ribosomal RNA (254 nucleotides) under uncultured bacterium. RNAcentral's name for it is "partial 16S ribosomal RNA". It matches the Rfam family "Bacterial small subunit ribosomal RNA", at positions 524 to 776 of the family's 1533-position model. The record is from RNAcentral.
GACAGAGGGUGCAAACGUUGUUCGGAAUUACUGGGCGUAAAGCGCGCGUAGGCGGCUUUUUAAGUCUGGUGUGAAAGGUUCAGGGCUCAACCCGAACAGUGCACUGGAUACUGGAGAGCUUGAGUUAGGGAGAGGAGAGUGGAAUUCCUGGUGUAGCGGUGAAAUGCGUAGAUAUCAGGAGGAACACCCAUGGCGAAGGCAGCUCUCUGGCCUAUAACUGACGCUGAGGUGCGAAAGCGUGGGGAGCAAACGGG